RNAcentral lists this long non-coding RNA (533 nucleotides) under Cervus hanglu yarkandensis (Yarkand deer). RNAcentral's name for it is "lncRNA (ENSCHYG00000002725.1)". Lineage: Eukaryota; Metazoa; Chordata; Mammalia; Artiodactyla; Cervidae. The record is from RNAcentral.
GGGAGUCCUGUCCCUUGCUCGGUUUCUCUAUGGCCUGGACUCAACCCCCAAAACCCUGGGGUCAGUAGGGUUGGAAUCUUGGGGGCAGAAUUCCAGAGACUAGUGUCUACUCCUCGUCGAUCUAGCCACGUGCAGCUUCCAUCCCCGGCUCUUUCCUCCUUUGGGAACUCCCUGGUUCUUCUGCCUCGUACCCUGGUCUCGGCCUUCAGGAAACCCUCGCCAGGUCUUACCACCCCUGCCAGUCCCACCCCACUGCAGCCUGAUGCCUGGGUCCUCACUGUGCAGGAGGGUGAGUCUUGAGACUGCAAAGGAGGGGGGCUUGGUGGAAGAAUGAACCUUCACAUCCAGCACAGAGACUGAAGUUUUGGGGGCUGUUACUUGCCCCCGUCUGAACCCUCCGGCGUCUUCUUUCAGACAGGGAUGCCCAGAAGUUGGGGGUUUAUCUUCUUCUCUCAGAUCGAGGGUUCCUCUGACUCUCCCAAUGCCUGGGCCAUGCUGGUUGGGUGGGGUGGGGGGCAGGUGGUAUGGAGCUG